This 443-nucleotide ribosomal RNA is filed under the name uncultured Paludibacter sp. Its description in RNAcentral is "bacterial SSU rRNA". It matches the Rfam family "Bacterial small subunit ribosomal RNA", at positions 355 to 794 of the family's 1533-position model. Lineage: Bacteria; Pseudomonadati; Bacteroidota; Bacteroidia; Bacteroidales; Paludibacteraceae. The record is from RNAcentral.
UGAGGAAUACUGGUCAAUGGACGGAAGUCUGAACCAGCCAAGUCGCGUGAAGGAAGACGGUUCUAUGGAUUGUAAACUUCUUUUGCCUGAGGGUAAAACGCGGUACGUGUACCGCCUUGUAAGUAUCAGGUGAAUAAGCAUCGGCUAACUCCGUGCCAGCAGCCGCGGUAAUACGGAGGAUGCGAGCGUUAUCCGGAUUUAUUGGGUUUAAAGGGUGCGUAGGCGGGAUGUUAAGUCAGCGGUGAAAGUUUGCGGCUCAACCGUAAAAUUGCCGUUGAAACUGGCGUUCUUGAGUGUAAACGAGGUAGGCGGAAUGUGACGUGUAGCGGUGAAAUGCUUAGAUAUCACGAAGAACUCCGAUUGCGAAGGCAGCUCGCUGUAGCAUUACUGACGCUGAAGCUCGAAGGUGCGGGGUAUCGAACAGGAUUAGAUACCCUGGUAGU